Molecule: ribosomal RNA, 465 nt
Filed under: uncultured bacterium
Lineage: Bacteria
Description: partial 16S ribosomal RNA
Rfam family: Bacterial small subunit ribosomal RNA
Source: RNAcentral
GACGAACGCUGGCGGCGUGCUUAACACAUGCAAGUCGUACGGUAAGGCCCUUUCGGGGGUACACGAGUGGCGAACGGGUGAGUAACACGUGAGUAACCUGCCCACAACUUUGGGAUAACGCUAGGAAACUGGUGCUAAUACUGGAUAUGUGCUCCUGCUGCAUGGUGGGGGUUGGAAAGCUCCGGCGGUUGUGGAUGGACUCGGGGCCUAUCAGCUUGUUGGUGGGGUAGUGGCCUACCAAGGCGGCGACGGGUAGCCGGCCUGAGAGGGUGACCGGCCACAUUGGGACUGAGAUACGGCCCAGACUCCUACGGGAGGCAGCAGUGGGGAAUAUUGCACAAUGGGCGCAAGCCUGAUGCAGCAACGCCGCGUGCGGGAUGACGGCCUUCGGGUUGUAAACCGCUUUCAGCAGGGACGAAGCUUUUUGUGACGGUACCUGCAGAAGAAGCACCGGCUAACUACGUG